This is an RNA transcript of Humulus lupulus (European hop), 895 nucleotides long. It is a transcript of the gene named protein transport protein SEC24 B-like, with no coding region annotated. The transcript is spliced from 6 exons. The record is from RefSeq and is a predicted model, not a curated record. NCBI's taxonomy places the organism in Eukaryota, Viridiplantae, Streptophyta, Magnoliopsida, Rosales, Cannabaceae.
UCUCUCGCAUGCUCUCUGCUAGGCCCGAACGAAGACGGCAGGGGCUCGGGGAAUGGUGGUCAACGGCGGCAGGGGGUUCGGGCUGUUCGACGGUAGGGGGCUCGGGGCUGGGCUCGACAGCAACGACUGGUGGCUCGAGGGCUGGGCUCGAUGGUGGGUGGGGGGGGGGGGGUUCAGGUCUGGGCUCGACGGCACAGGGGUUGGGCAGAGGGAUGUUUGGCUUCGGGGCUGAAUGUUUCAAAGAACAACACAUUGUUGAAUGAUUUUACUACUAUUUUUAGAGGGAACCCGGAGUGGUCAAGGAGUCAAAUCUAAUUUGGUUAUUAACAAAUUUAAAUUUUAAGGUUAAUAUUUUGAUUGGUCUUAAAGCAUUGGAUCAGUAGCUAAUUGCAAGAGCCAUUAAUGCUAAUAGUUCUUGAUGUACAAGAUGUCUAUACUCCCUUACAGACAGAUGUUCUUGUUUCUCUAUCUGAGUACCGCCAGCAUUUAGAGUUAUUGCUGGAAAGCAUUCCAACCAUGUUUCAGAAUAGUAAAACUGCCAAAUCAGCGUUUGGUGCUGCAAUUAAGUUUUGCCAUCAACUGGCAUUGGAGCUCUUUCUGCCAAAGAAGCUGAAGGAAGAGCUAAUGUAUCUGCGAGAGAGAAGGGUAAAAGUGUCACACACGCUUCUCAUAUAUCAUUUGGUUUGUCCUUUUUAUGAAUAAUGUAAAAUUAGAACAAUUUUAUUGUAAGAUCCAUUAAUAGAGUAUCAAAUUAAAAUAUUUAGAUUGUUAUUAGGACUUAGAGGUGGUUUGAGUUUUUUUUAUGUAUUUAUUUUUUUAUUUUUAUUGAUAAUGUUGAAAGAUGUUAUAAGUUAGCUUACAUUAUAUGUUAAUGAGAACUUUAAAUUUCUUUUGA